Molecule: long non-coding RNA, 1029 nt
Filed under: Phaseolus vulgaris (common bean)
Lineage: Eukaryota; Viridiplantae; Streptophyta; Magnoliopsida; Fabales; Fabaceae
Description: long non-coding RNA (PVUL_LNC002044)
Source: RNAcentral
UCCGCAACAGUCACUCUUGUGUUAGCAAUACUGUCUCUAAGCUUGCCAUCUCAAAUCUCAGCUGAUACCUACUUGUACUCAUCACCUCCUCCUCCCAAGAAGCCCUAUUAUUAUCACUCUCCUCCACCACCUUCACCUCCUCCACCUAAGCCAUACUACUAUCAUUCACCACCACCACCUUCACCUCCUCCACCCAAGCCAUACUACUAUCACUCACCACCACCACCUUCACCUCCUCCACCUAAACCAUACUACUAUCACUCACCACCACCACCUUCACCUCCUCCACCUAAACCAUACUACUAUCACUCACCACCACCACCUUCACCUCCUCCACCUAAACCAUACUACUAUCACUCACCACCACCACCUUCACCUCCUCCACCUAAGUCAUAUUACUAUCACUCACCACCACCACCACCCAAAAAGAAGCCAUACUACUACCAUUCUCCCCCACCACCUUCACCACCUCCUCCUAAGCCAUACUACUAUCACUCUCCCCCACCGCCUUCACCUCCUCCACCUACGCCAUACUACUAUCAUUCUCCCCCACCACCCUCACCACCUCCACCUAAGCCAUACUACUACCAUUCACCACCACCCCCACCGAAGAAGAAGCCUUACUACUACCACUCUCCACCACCACCUUCACCUCCUCCUCCAAAGAAGCCAUACUACUACCACUCCCCACCUCCUCCCAAGAAGCCCUACAAAUAUUCAUCUCCCCCACCUCCAGUGCACCCUUACCCUCAUCCUCACCCCCAUCCCCAUCCACACCCCCACCCUCACCCUCCCUACGUUUACAAAUCUCCUCCCCCACCCCCUAAGAAGCCAUACAAGUACCCAUCCCCACCACCUCCAGUCCACGUUUACCCUCACCCUCACCCGCAUCCACACCCUCACCCUCAACCUCACCCCCAUCCACAACCCCACCCUCCCUACAUUUAUCAGUCUCCUCCACCACCCCCUAAGAAGCCUUACAAGUACCCAUCGCCUCCACCUCCCGUCCACCCAUACCCCCAUCCCCAC